UGCGCGGGGUGACGCGGCGGCGGCCGCGGACGUGCCAGGGUGCUGCGGGCUGCAUGCCUCGCCGGCGCGCUCGUAGUCCCGCUCGCCCGCCGCCACCACUCCUCCUCGCCGCGUGCCGCCGCCGCCACCGCUCCUCCUCCCCCACCGCCGCCGUUCCUCCUCCCCGCCGCGGAUCUGCGCCACCGUCGCCACCACCUCCUCCUCCUACUCCCCGCCGCCUCCACCUCCUCCUCCUCCACCACCUCCUCUCCUCCUGUGUCCCUUAGGAUCGCGAGGCAUGCAGCCCGUGAUGGUGCGGCGGACUAUGGCGUCACGGUUCGGCGAGAGGCCGCGUCGCCGGAGAGCUAGCUCGACGUGCAGUGCCGGUGGAGCUCGGCCGGGCUGCAGCUGCCGGACGGGACCAUCCUGGUGGAGCAGGUGGCCGCCGCCAUCAGGAUUGGAUGAUGCGUCAAGUUUGCCGGCAAGAACGAGGAAGAGAAGCAUGAGUAUUGGCGGCGGCGCGAGCUCCACCCCCCUGCGGCCAAAAUUGCUCCUGAAGCCCGAGGACGCGCUGCUGCUGGGCCAGGUCCACCGCCUCGUCACGUCGCAAGAGGUGACGAAGGCGAUCCAGGCCUAGCGGCAGGACAAGGCGCGGCGGUGCAAGGAGGCGGCGCCCGACGACCGGCGGCCGCCGCCGCAGCCCGGGCCCGCCGUCGCCGCCGGCCAGGCGAGCGCUCGCGUGCGGCUCGCUCGCUCGCUCGUCCCCUGUCCGGCGUUCGCGUUCUGAGUGAACGAACUGCGAGUUCCGGCCUCCGAUGAUGAAUCGCUGACUCGCCGCGGUGUUCGUGCAGGAGUGUCAGCGGGCGGAUAAGUCGGACCAGCAGCACCGCGGCGGCGGCGGGUCCCGUGGCGUCGGGGCGAGGGGGCGGCACUGGCGGCCGUCGCUGCAGAGUAUCUCCGAGUCGGCGAGCUGACGCGGCGUGCGCCGAGGCCGGCUGCUACCCGGCCGCGGCGAGCGGCUCCGGAGCGACAGACCGAGCGCGACGGCAUUUUCAACAAGAAGCGCUUGCAUUUUCAACGAAUGAUGGUUACUCACUCGACGUCUUUGUUGUUGGUUGGCAUGACGAGUUGCAGGAAGCCUAAAAUUGAAACAGUGUAUGAAUGCAAGACACCUUGCUCAUGCUGCCUGCUCUUUUAUUCAAAGAUCGUACCAUGCCAGCUGCAUCUUCAUUAUGAAGCCGAAGAAACAAGACACUCUCCAAGUUCAUACAAGCAGUCUCCUUUCAGCUAUGGCCUAUGUUCCCAUUUGUCCCCUCUGCAAUGGAAUCCGGAACUAUCCUCUCCUAAAAGAAGCUACAAAGGAUCAAGUGCAGAUAUUUGAACGAUUGUUUUCCACUGACCUGUUUCUGACAACCAACGAAAAAUGUUAAAUGUUCUUCUCCAAUGAAUGCAAAGGAUGGAGAACCUGGUGCUUAAGCUCCUUCUCCUCGUCCUCCUAUUACAACUCUCGCUGCUGCUAUCCUGACCAUUCGGCGUCGCAUGUCCAGCAUCCGCCUUCACAAUGCCCAUUCAGUCAUUCUUAUGCAGCCUCCGCCCCGAGAUGAAAGCUUCGACUUCAUCACGCGGAUAUAAUCUGAACCUCAGGAGCCAGCAUAUUCCCUAAUCUUUCAUCGUGCGGCAACAACGAUAACCAAAGUUGCCGGUAUUUUGUGCCAUCAGCAACGUCGGGCCUUUUCAAGUUAACGUGUACAAAUUAAACUAAUUACAAAGCUCCACCAUCAUAUUGUUAUGCAGACCCAUUCUCAUCUGAUCAUUGUAAUAUGAUAUUUCAAGACUUAAUUCUUGUACUAUAGUAUAGCCAUAUCUGACUCUGUUUUCUAUCGGUACCUAAGUCCUUGAUCGCUUCAGCCUGCGUAGCAUUCCGUCAAAUGAACGAUGUCUGCUAAAACCGUUCUGCAUCA
Panicum virgatum (switchgrass) is the source of this 1940-nucleotide long non-coding RNA. RefSeq lists it as uncharacterized. The transcript has 7 exons. The record is from RefSeq and is a predicted model, not a curated record. Lineage: Eukaryota; Viridiplantae; Streptophyta; Magnoliopsida; Poales; Poaceae.